RNAcentral lists this ribosomal RNA (500 nucleotides) under uncultured bacterium. Its description in RNAcentral is "partial 16S ribosomal RNA". It matches the Rfam family "Bacterial small subunit ribosomal RNA", at positions 30 to 523 of the family's 1533-position model. The record is from RNAcentral.
AUUGAACGCUGGCGGAAUGCUUUACACAUGCAAGUCGAACGGCAGCACGGACUUCGGUCUGGUGGCGAGUGGCGAACGGGUGAGUAAUGUAUCGGAACGUGCCCAGUCGUGGGGGAUAACGUAGUGAAAAUUACGCUAAUACCGCAUACGAUCUAUGGAUGAAAGCGGGGGAUGGCAAGACCUCGCGCGAUUGGAGCGGCCGAUAUCAGAUUAGGUAGUUGGUGGGGUAAAGGCCCACCAAGCCAACGAUCUGUAGCUGGCCUGAGAGGACGACCAGCCACACUGGAACUGAGACACGGUCCAGACUCCUACGGGAGGCAGCAGUGGGGAAUUUUGGACAAUGGGCGAAAGCCUGAUCCAGCCAUUCCGCGUGCAGGAUGAAGGCCCUCGGGUUGUAAACUGCUUUUGUACAGAACGAAGAGGUUUCUACUAAUACUAGGAGCUCAUGACGGUACUGUAAGAAUAAGCACCGGCUAACUACGUGCCAGCCGCCGCCGUAA